UACGUAGGGUGCGAGCGUUGUCCGGAAUCAUUGGGCGUAAAGCGCUUGUAGGCGGUUUGUCGCGUCUGUUGUGAAAAUCCGAGGCUCAACCUCGGACUUGCAGUGGGUACGGGCAGACUAGAGUGUGGUAGGGGAGACUGGAAUUCCUGGUGUAGCGGUGGAAUGCGCAGAUAUCAGGAGGAACACCGAUGGCGAAGGCAGGUCUCUGGGCCAUUACUGACACUGAGAAGCGAAAGCAUGGGGAGCGAACAGG
Molecule: ribosomal RNA, 253 nt
Filed under: uncultured bacterium
Lineage: Bacteria
Description: partial 16S ribosomal RNA
Rfam family: Bacterial small subunit ribosomal RNA
Source: RNAcentral